RNAcentral lists this ribosomal RNA (595 nucleotides) under uncultured bacterium. Its description in RNAcentral is "bacterial SSU rRNA". It matches the Rfam family "Bacterial small subunit ribosomal RNA", at positions 8 to 599 of the family's 1533-position model. The record is from RNAcentral.
AGAGUUUGAUCAUGGCUCAGGAUGAACGCUGGCGGCAGGCUUAAUACAUGCAAGUCGAACGGUAACAGUACUAGCAAUAGUAGCUGACGAGUGGCGCACGGGUGCGUAACGCGUAUGCAACCUACCCAUAACCGGAACAAAACGUUGAGAAAUUGGCGCUAAUAUUCCAUGUGUAUUUUCUAUGGCAUCAUAAAAAAUAUAAAGAACUUUGGUUAUAGAUGGGCAUGCGUAUCAUUAGCUAGUUGGGGAGGUAACGGCUCACCAAGGCGACGAUGAUUAGGGGUUCUGAGAGGAAAAACCCCCACACUGGAACUGAGACACGGUCCAGACUCCUACGGGAGGCAGCAGUAGGGAAUAUUGGGCAAUGGAAGGAAUUCUGACCCAGCCAUGCCGCGCGCAGGAAUACAGUCCUAUGGACUUUAAACUGCUUUUAUUAUAGAGUAACCUGGGGGACGAGUCCCCCACUGCAAGUAUAUAAUGAAUAAGCAUCGGCUAACUCCGUGCCAGCAGCCGCGGUAAUACGGGGGAUGCAAGCGUUAUCCGGAUUUAUUGGGUUUAAAGGGUGCGCAGGCUGAUCGGUAAGUCAUGGGUGAAA